This is a non-coding RNA of Klebsiella pneumoniae subsp. pneumoniae MGH 78578, 78 nucleotides long. The record is from Rfam. Lineage: Bacteria; Pseudomonadati; Pseudomonadota; Gammaproteobacteria; Enterobacterales; Enterobacteriaceae.
AUUACCCAUCGUGAUGUGGUUAUUGCUAUCAAUAAGUUAUUGAUGCAAAGGGCAAUAUUUUGUUGCCCUUUUUUAUUU